RNAcentral lists this small nuclear RNA (20 nucleotides) under Arabidopsis thaliana (thale cress). RNAcentral describes it as "snRNA_19152". Lineage: Eukaryota; Viridiplantae; Streptophyta; Magnoliopsida; Brassicales; Brassicaceae. The record is from RNAcentral.
AUCUGCCACAUCAGAUUAAA